AAGCGGUGCUUUUAUUAGAUCAAAACCAAACGGCUUCGGCCGUCCACCUGGUGACUCUGAAUAACUUUGGGCUGAUAGCAUUGCCUAGCGCAGGCUACGUUUCCUUCGAAGGUGUGCCCUAUCAACUUUCGACUGUGAUAUAGACGCUCACAGUGGUUUUGACGGGUAACGGGGAAUCAGGGUUCGAUUCCGGAGAGGGAGCCUUAAAAACGGCUACCACAUCCAAGGAAGGCAGCAGGCACGCAAAUUACCCAAUGGUCGAAGACCGAGGUAGUGACGAAAAAUAACAAUACCAGACUCUUCCGAGGCCUGGUAAUUGGAAUGAGUACACUUUAAAACCGUUCCCGAGGAUCUAUUGGAGGGCAAGUCUGGUGCCAGCAGCCGCGGUAAUUCCAGCUCCAAUAGCGUAUAUUAAUGUUGUUGUGGUUAAAAAGCUCGUAGUUGGAUUUCGGCGGGCAGUCCCGGGUCCCUAUCGCUAGGGCACUCGGGAUUUCAGCCCGUGUGUGUUUGACGGAAUCUCAGCGGUGCUCUUGAUCGGGUGUCGUUGGGGACCGUCAGUUUUACUUUGAAAAAAUUAGGGUGCUCAAAGCAAGCUAUUAUCGCUUGAAUAUUCGUGCAUGGAAUAAUGGAAUAGGACGUCGUUUCUAUUUUGUUGGUUUUCGGAGAUCGACGUAAUGAUUAACAGGGAUAGUCGGGGGCAUUCGUAUUCAAACGACAGAGGUGAAAUUCUUGGACCGUUUGAAGACGAACUACUGCGAAAGCAUUUGCCAAGGAUGUUUUCAUUAAUCAAGAACGAAAGUUAGAGGUUCGAAGGCGAUUAGAUACCGCCCUAGUUCUAACCAUAAACGAUGCCAGCUAGCGAUCCGUCAGCGCUUCAUCGUACGGCCUGACGGGGAGCUUCCGGGAAACCAAAGCUUGUGGGUUCCAGGGGAAGUAUGGUUGCAAAGCUGAAACUUAAAGUAAUUGACGGAAGGGCACCACCAGGAGUGGAGCCUGUGGCUUAAUUUGACUCAACACGGGAAAUCUCACCAGGCCCGGACACC
This 1043-nucleotide ribosomal RNA is filed under the name metagenome. RNAcentral describes it as "SSU rRNA". It matches the Rfam family "Eukaryotic small subunit ribosomal RNA", at positions 196 to 1232 of the family's 1831-position model. The record is from RNAcentral.